UAUAGACAAGGAAGACAAAAAGGAUACAGAGGGAUCCUAUUGGUGGAAGCGGGUGGUGUAAUGGACAAAGGAGGUAGGUAAUAGAUCGUAUUCGAUACAUCAAACAGGCGUUAUAUCGAUGCGAUAUAUUGAUAUCGAUUGGUUCAAAACAAUAAUAUUAACCUCAAAAGUAAAGUAGAAAUUUCCAAACCGAAUCUCUCAAAGAACAGAUAUCCUCCUUUCUUCUACCUUUCUUGGUAAUUCUAAUUUAUUUUUAUUUAAUUCUUUAAUUCUUCAUCAUGGCCAUUAAAUCCGUCAUUAAAUUAAGAAAUAUUGUCGACUUUUUUGAAGACGAGGCCAUGAAACUUGUUUCAAAAGGCGAAAAUGCCUUCGAAUCUGAGCAUGUGUCGGAAAUUGUUUUUGACGGUGAUGUGCGGUACCUAAAAGGGAAGGUGCAAGCCAGCAUGCGGCAAAAGGUGUUUUACGACGUGCAGGUUCUCAACCCAAGGUUUUGCAAUCAAAUUUUACAUGUCAGGAAAACAUCUUCAGAAUUCUAGGACAAUCUAGAUACUCUCAAGGAUAAAAGUGGUAGAGGAUUUUAAUUAUUUUAAUAUCAUUCAGUCAAUUAAAUAAUGUAAGUCUGUGUUCUGUGAUAGAAGCUUUAUGUGAGGAAAAAAAAAUUUGAAUAAAUUAUAAUUUGGACACUUAAUUAUCCUGAAUUUUCCUGGACCCUUUUGCUCCAACUUGGCGAGUUAGUAAUGUUUCUACAAUGUUCUUAAAACACUUUAUUGUUCUUAACAUAAUUAUUUAUAAUUACUUGACAGUUGCGCUUAAAGAAACUUUAAAAAAUUUGUGAAUUUUGAAACUAAGAAAAGAACUU
This 859-nucleotide long non-coding RNA is filed under the name Bemisia tabaci. RNAcentral describes it as "lncRNA ENSSSA3NGG003072". Lineage: Eukaryota; Metazoa; Arthropoda; Insecta; Hemiptera; Aleyrodidae. The record is from RNAcentral.